Alligator mississippiensis (American alligator) is the source of this 611-nucleotide long non-coding RNA. RefSeq lists it as uncharacterized. Lineage: Eukaryota; Metazoa; Chordata; Crocodylia; Alligatoridae. The record is from RefSeq and is a predicted model, not a curated record. The transcript has 2 exons.
CACUGGCAAAAUCCAGUCCCUCUAAUUGAUUUUGCUUGAUUCAAUCAUAUCAGUAAAAGAUUCCUCCUCCACUUUAUGCUCAGCUGAAUGCACUUCAAGUUUUUGUGCUUGGGCUCUGCAGGACCUGGUGAAAUGGUUCCUCUUGCUACAGGUGGGAGAGUCAAAAGCAUCCCACAGUUGAGGUGGAGGAAGAUUGACAAGAUCCAGAGAAAUGGGAUAACCAAGUCAAAUCCACGAACCAAAGCCAGGAACCAGAAGCUGAAGUCAGGAGCCUUGGGUCCCAGUGCAAAUGCUUGGGACUGAAAACAGACCCCAGGAAUCAGGACCUAAAAUCUGCAAUCAGAAGUCAGGAGGAAAGGGUUCAGUUAUGAAGCAGCAGCACACUCUGAGAGUGCAAGUGGAGCAGCCCACAAUGGAUGUUCAUCCAUCCAGACAGCUUGCGGCUGAGCUGACCAACCAGACUGCCUGGGGCUGACUGUUAGGCUUCCUGACAGUGCCCCCAUCACUCCGGGGGUUUCUUGUAGGCCACCAUGCAUAAUCAAUUUGGUCUAUCUGAUCCUACAAUUGUUCCUUUGGCCCAAUUUUCAAAUACACAAAAAUGUAUUGCCUAA